Molecule: long non-coding RNA, 845 nt
Organism: Thalassophryne amazonica
Lineage: Eukaryota; Metazoa; Chordata; Actinopteri; Batrachoidiformes; Batrachoididae
Exons: 3
Source: RefSeq, a predicted model, not a curated record
CUAUGUUUCUCUCAGAACAUCAGUUAAUGCAGAGUAAGUCAAUCAUAUCCACUGUGAAUGGAAAUGGAUUUAAAGUCCCACCGCUCCAUCGCAGAGCCCAGCCAAGCUUGUUAGGUGGCACAAUUAAUCGAGUUCAUCAGAGCCAGAUUCAUUCUGUUCAUCCAAACAGUGUGAUUUCUUGGCUGGUUUUAAACAAUCCUAACCCUGGGACUUUUGGCGGCCUUCUAAACCUGUUUCAAAACAACUUGUUUUAUUAAGCCAUCUGCACUCAAUAAGACCGGGCAAACACACCAGCUGAAAAAACGUAGCAGCAGAUUUCAGCCUUCAGAACACUGAGCCUACUGUGCCGCUCCACUACUUCACAAAACAGCAGAACGCCACAGUCCUUGUCUAAGUUUUUUUUUCCCUUCCUGUAUUUUACAAUAGAAGAUUUUCUUUAACCUCAAUGUGGCUUUUACCCGGUUAAAUAAUGGAUAUAUACAUACAAUACAUUCUUGCAUCAUGUGUGCCACAGGCAGUUGUCUUUUCAUCUUUACAACAGGCAGUGUUAACUCUAAGUUACAGUUUAAAUAUAUUUAAUGCAAAGCAGCAGAACACACAAAGCCUAUCCCCAGAAAAACACCAUAUCUGGUGCACAGUCUGGUUCAACUCUGGAUUGUGUGGAUUUGUUCCAGCCUGCAUACACGACAGUCAGCUGCUGCAGUACAUCUUGUUUUUAUGAUGUUCCAUUGAUCCCUGAAGGAGGAAUUCAUCUAUUCGGUUUCUCUCAUUCCUUCCUCAUGCCGUGCCAUCUUAACGCACAUCUUAACCCUCGAUCAUUAAAAUUACAAAAAAGUACUUUGUUA